UACAGGGGGUGCUAGCGUUGUUCGGAAUUACUGGGCGUAAAGGGUGCGUAGGCGGGUCUUUAAGUCAGAGGUGAAAUCCUGGAGCUCAACUCCAGAACUGCCUUUGAUACUGAAGGUCUUGAGUUCGGGAGAGGUGAGUGGAACUGCGAGUGUAGAGGUGAAAUUCGUAGAUAUUCGCAAGAACACCAGUGGCGAAGGCGGCUCACUGGCCCGAUACUGACGCUGAGGCACGAAAGCGUGGGGAGCAAACAGG
This 253-nucleotide ribosomal RNA is filed under the name uncultured bacterium. RNAcentral's name for it is "partial 16S ribosomal RNA". It matches the Rfam family "Bacterial small subunit ribosomal RNA", at positions 524 to 776 of the family's 1533-position model. The record is from RNAcentral.